GACGAACGCUGGCGGCGUGCUUAACACAUGCAAGUCGAACGGUGAAGGGAUCAGCUUGCUGGUUCUGGAUGAGUGGCGAACGGGUGAGUAACACGUGAGUAACCUGCCCCCUUCUUCUGGAUAACCGCAUGAAAGUGUGGCUAACACGGGAUAUUCUGGGUCUGUCGCAUGAUGGGUCUGGGAAAGAUAUUGUUUCGGUGGGGGAUGGGCUCGCGGCCUAUCAGGUUGUUGGUGGGGUGAUGGCCUACCGAGGCGGUGACGGGUAGCCGGGCUGAGGGGGUGGACGGUCACACGGGGACUGAGACACGGCCCAGACUGGUACGGGAGGGAGCAGUAGGGAAUAUUGCAGGAUGGACGCAAGCCUGAUGCAGCGACGCCGGGUGAGGGAGGGCGGCCUUCGGGAUGUAAACCUCUUUGGGCAGAAAAGCAGGCCUGCUCCUUGUGGGUGGGUUGACGGUAGCUGGAUAAGAAGCGCCGGCUAACUACGUG
RNAcentral lists this ribosomal RNA (489 nucleotides) under uncultured bacterium. RNAcentral's name for it is "partial 16S ribosomal RNA". It matches the Rfam family "Bacterial small subunit ribosomal RNA", at positions 28 to 507 of the family's 1533-position model. The record is from RNAcentral.